Molecule: ribosomal RNA, 460 nt
Filed under: uncultured bacterium
Lineage: Bacteria
Description: partial 16S ribosomal RNA
Rfam family: Bacterial small subunit ribosomal RNA
Source: RNAcentral
ACUACGGGAGGCAGCAGUGAGGAAUAUUGGUCAAUGGACGAGAGUCUGAACCAGCCAAGUAGCGUGAAGGAUGAGUGCCCUAUGGGUUGUAAACUUCUUUUAUAUGGGAAUAAAAUGUUCCAAGUGUGGGAUGUUGUAUGUACCAUAUGAAUAAGGAGUGGAUAAAUCCGUGCUAUCAGCCGCGAUAAUACGGAGGAUCCGAGCGUUAUCCGGAUUUAUUGAGUGUAAAGGGAGCGUAGGUGGAUUGUUAAGUCAGUUGUGAAAGUUUGCGGCUCAACCUUAAAAUUGAAGUUGAAACUGGCAGUCUUGAGUACCGUAGAGGUAGGCGGAAUUCGUGGUGUAGCGGUGAAAUGCUUAGAUAUCACGAAGAACUCCGAUUGCGAAGGCAGCUCACUGGACUGCAACUGACACUGAGGCUCGAAAGUGUGGGUAUCAAACAGGAUUAGAUACCCCUGUAGUC